This 219-nucleotide ribosomal RNA is filed under the name Enterobacter hormaechei. RNAcentral describes it as "partial 23S ribosomal RNA". It matches the Rfam family "Bacterial large subunit ribosomal RNA", at positions 1 to 227 of the family's 2925-position model. The record is from RNAcentral. Lineage: Bacteria; Pseudomonadati; Pseudomonadota; Gammaproteobacteria; Enterobacterales; Enterobacteriaceae.
GCGACUAAGCGUACACGGUGGAUGCCCUGGCAGUCAGAGGCGAUGAAGGACGUGCUAAUCUGCGAAAAGCGCCGGCGAGGUGAUAUGAACCCUUGACCCGGCGAUGUCCGAAUGGGGAAACCCAGUGCAAUUCGUUGCACUAUCGUUAACUGAAUACAUAGGUUAACGAGGCGAACCGGGGGAACUGAAACAUCUAAGUACCCCGAGGAAAAGAAAUCA